RNAcentral lists this ribosomal RNA (489 nucleotides) under uncultured bacterium. RNAcentral describes it as "bacterial SSU rRNA". It matches the Rfam family "Bacterial small subunit ribosomal RNA", at positions 30 to 507 of the family's 1533-position model. The record is from RNAcentral.
AUUGAACGCUGGCGGCAUGCCUAACACAUGCAAGUCGAACGGUAACGCGGAGAGCUUGCUCUCUGGCGACGAGUGGCGGACGGGUGAGUAAUACUUAGGAAUCUGCCCAGUAGUGGGGGACAACAUUCGGAAACGGAUGCUAAUACCGCAUACGCACUACGGUGGAAAGUGGGGGACCUUCGGGGCCUCACGCUAUUGGAUGAGCCUAAGUCGGAUUAGCUUGUUGGUAGGGUAAUGGCCUACCAAGGCGACGAUCCGUAGCUGGUCUGAGAGGACGAUCAGCCACACUGGGACUGAGACACGGCCCAGACUCCUACGGGAGGCAGCAGUGGGGAAUAUUGGACAAUGGGCGCAAGCCUGAUCCAGCAAUGCCGCGUGUGUGAAGAAGGCCUGCGGGUUGUAAAGCACUUUCAGUAGAGAAGAAAAGCCCAGGGUUAAUAUCCCUGAGUCUUGACGUAACCUACAGAAGAAGCACCGGCUAACUCCGUG